CAGUCGCCACGGUAAUACGUAGGUGGCAAGCGUUGUCCGGAAUUAUUGGGCGUAAAGGGCUCGCAGGCGGUUCCUUAAGUCUGAUGUGAAAGCCCCCGGCUCAACCGGGGAGGGUCAUUGGAAACUGGGAAACUUGAGUGCAGAAGAGGAGAGUGGAAUUCCACGUGUAGCGGUGAGAUGCGUAGAGAUGUGGAGGAACACCAGUGGCGAAGGCGACUCUCUGAUCUGUAACUGACGCUGAGGAGCGAAAGCGUGGGGAGCGAACAGGAUUAGAUACCCGCGUAGUCCCUGUCUCUUAUAC
Molecule: ribosomal RNA, 301 nt
Filed under: uncultured bacterium
Lineage: Bacteria
Description: partial 16S ribosomal RNA
Rfam family: Bacterial small subunit ribosomal RNA
Source: RNAcentral